Molecule: non-coding RNA, 276 nt
Organism: Vicia faba (fava bean)
Lineage: Eukaryota; Viridiplantae; Streptophyta; Magnoliopsida; Fabales; Fabaceae
Source: the annotation of a GenBank genome assembly
AUGAAGGAAGAAGGUAUAUCGCAUUUACCUCCGGAACUGAGGGAUAUUCCAGUAACAGUUGCAGCGAGUUCCAGCAAAGCGGAUGGCAUGGAAAUCCGGAAACUCUCGACAAAGCUCUUAUCUAGGUUCGAUCUACGAAUAGGUUUCGGAUUGAAGUAUAAAGGCAAUCAUGCUGGUUCCAGAACGGGUGACAUCCCCCUUGGGACACUUUUGAAUGGCUUUGCAAGAUUGGUCAAGGGUUUGUGGAAAGCAUUGAACUACUUGGACAUGGACUGA